UCCCAAGAAGGACCAGGCCAGUGAGGGCAAA
This 31-nucleotide non-coding RNA is filed under the name Homo sapiens (human). Lineage: Eukaryota; Metazoa; Chordata; Mammalia; Primates; Hominidae. The record is from RNAcentral.